GUCGAGCGAACAGAUAAGGAGCUUGCUCCUUUGAAGUUAGCGGCGGACGGGUGAGUAACACGUGGGUAACCUACCUAUAAGACUGGGAUAACUUCGGGAAACCGGAGCUAAUACCGGAUAACAUUUGGAACCGCAUGGUUCUAAAGUGAAAGAUGGUUUUGCUAUCACUUAUAGAUGGACCCGCGCCGUAUUAGCUAGUUGGUAAGGUAACGGCUUACCAAGGCGACGAUACGUAGCCGACCUGAGAGGGUGAUCGGCCACACUGGAACUGAGACACGGUCCAGACUCCUACGGGAGGCAGCAGUAGGGAAUCUUCCGCAAUGGGCGAAAGCCUGACGGAGCAACGCCGCGUGAGUGAUGAAGGGUUUCGGCUCGUAAAACUCUGUUAUUAGGGAAGAACAAACGUGUAAGUAACUGUGCACAUCUUGACGGUACCUAAUCAGAAAGCCACGGCUAACUACGUGCCAGCAGCCGCGGUAAUACGUAGGUGGCAAGCGUUAUCCGGAAUUAUUGGGCGUAAAGCGCGCGUAGGCGGUUUCUUAAGUCUGAUGUGAAAGCCCACGGCUCAACCGUGGAGGGUCAUUGGAAACUGGGAAACUUGAGUGCAGAAGAGGAAAGUGGAAUUCCAUGUGUAGCGGUGAAAUGCGCAGAGAUAUGGAGGAACACCAGUGGCGAAGGCGACUUUCUGGUCUGUAACUGACGCUGAUGUGCGAAAGCGUGGGGAUCAAACAGGAUUAGAUACCCUGGUAGUCCACGCCGUAAACGAUGAGUGCUAAGUGUUAGGGGGUUUCCGCCCCUUAGUGCUGCAGCUAACGCAUUAAGCACUCCGCCUGGGGAGUACGACCGCAAGGUUGAAACUCAAAGGAAUUGACGGGGACCCGCACAAGCGGUGGAGCAUGUGGUUUAAUUCGAAGCAACGCGAAGAACCUUACCAAAUCUUGACAUCCUUUGAAAACUCUAGAGAUAGAGCCUUCCCCUUCGGGGGACAAAGUGACAGGUGGUGCAUGGUUGUCGUCAGCUCGUGUCGUGAGAUGUUGGGUUAAGUCCCGCAACGAGCGCAACCCUUAAGCUUAGUUGCCAUCAUUAAGUUGGGCACUCUAGGUUGACUGCCGGUGACAAACCGGAGGAAGGUGGGGAUGACGUCAAAUCAUCAUGCCCCUUAUGAUUUGGGCUACACACGUGCUACAAUGGACAAUACAAAGGGCAGCUAAACCGCGAGGUCAUGCAAAUCCCAUAAAGUUGUUCUCAGUUCGGAUUGUAGUCUGCAACUCGACUACAUGAAGCUGGAAUCGCUAGUAAUCGUAGAUCAGCAUGCUACGGUGAAUACGUUCCCGGGUCUUGUACACACCGCCCGUCACACCACGAGAGUUUGUAACACCCGAAGCCGGUGGAGUAACCAUUUAUGGAGCUAGCCGUCGAAGG
This 1422-nucleotide ribosomal RNA is filed under the name Staphylococcus sp. 462. RNAcentral's name for it is "bacterial SSU rRNA". It matches the Rfam family "Bacterial small subunit ribosomal RNA". The record is from RNAcentral. Lineage: Bacteria; Bacillati; Bacillota; Bacilli; Caryophanales; Staphylococcaceae.